RNAcentral lists this unclassified non-coding RNA (238 nucleotides) under Hevea brasiliensis (rubber tree). Lineage: Eukaryota; Viridiplantae; Streptophyta; Magnoliopsida; Malpighiales; Euphorbiaceae. The record is from RNAcentral.
AAGCAACUCCAUCAAAAUAAUCACACAGAAAAAAGAGAAACUCAGCACAACAUUGAAGGCUGCAUUACUAUUAUGAAAACACAGGAAAAAAUAAAUGAUAAGAAAAUCCCAGAAUUUAUAAUUAUUUAACUAUUCUUGUUUCCAAAAUCGAAUACUAUUGCUAUUUAAACAGUUUCGUAAGCUAAGCUUAGUUUCACCAUGGCUUUCGACUUUAAGCCAAGGAUUUUAAUCCCAGUCA